RNAcentral lists this ribosomal RNA (489 nucleotides) under uncultured bacterium. Its description in RNAcentral is "bacterial SSU rRNA". It matches the Rfam family "Bacterial small subunit ribosomal RNA", at positions 30 to 509 of the family's 1533-position model. The record is from RNAcentral.
UGAACGCUAGCUACAGGCUUAACACAUGCAAGUCAGGGGCAGCAUGAAGUUUGCUUGCAAACUUUGAUGGCGACCGGCGCACGGGUGAGUAACGCGUAUCCAACCUGGCCCGCAGUAGGGAACAGCCCGGCGAAAGUCGGAUUAAUGCCCUAUGUCUUCCUUUGCAGGCAUCCAAUGAGGAAGAAAGAUUUAUCGCUGCGGGAUGGGGAUGCGUCUGAUUAGCUUGUCGGCGGGGUAACGGCCCACCGAGGCAACGAUCAGUAGGGGUUCUGAGAGGAAGGUCCCCCACACUGGUACUGAGACACGGACCAGACUCCUACGGGAGGCAGCAGUGAGGAAUAUUGGUCAAUGGGCGAGAGCCUGAACCAGCCAAGUAGCGUGCAGGACGACUGCCCUAUGGGUUGUAAACUGCUUUUAUGCGGGGAUAAACUUCAGCACGUGUGCUGUUUUGCAGGUACCGCAUGAAUAAGGACCGGCUAAUUCCGUGCC